GCCCGGAUGGUCUAGUGGUAUGAUUCUCGCUUUGGGCUAUAUAGUUCAAUCUGCGAGAGGUCCCGCGUUCAAUCCGCGGUUCGGGCC
RNAcentral lists this transfer RNA (87 nucleotides) under Aspergillus leporis. Its description in RNAcentral is "tRNA-Pro". Lineage: Eukaryota; Fungi; Ascomycota; Eurotiomycetes; Eurotiales; Aspergillaceae. The record is from RNAcentral.